Molecule: long non-coding RNA, 1001 nt
Organism: Haliotis rubra (blacklip abalone)
Lineage: Eukaryota; Metazoa; Mollusca; Gastropoda; Lepetellida; Haliotidae
Exons: 5
Source: RefSeq, a predicted model, not a curated record
UCUGUGUAUGCAAUGCUGUGUGUGUGUGUGGAUGUGUGUGUGUGUGUGUAUAUAUGUGCGUGUGUCUAUAUGCACUAAAUGCAAGUCACAACUGGUGGCAAAAGAUGAUAAUUAUGCAUACAUGGCAUUCACAUGUUGAAGUAACAGUGUAGGUCACACAGAGCCUUGUGUACAUGUACUAAAUGUACAUACAUACCUCACCCCUCCCGCAGCAGCCGGGGGUCUCUAACUGUCACUGGUCACUGUUGGAAGAAACAAAUGAACUUAUUAUUGACAUAAGAAUAUCAGUGGAAAUGUCUAGGAUAAGGAGGGAGGUUGUGUUGAUACUGUGUGAGGGAGGUCUAGGGUAAGGAAGGAGGUGUGUGAGGGAGGUCUAGGAUAAGGAGGGAUGUGUGUGAGGGAGGUCUAGGGUAAGGAGGGAAGUGUGUGAGGGAGGUCUAGGGUAAGGAGGGAUGUGUGUGAGGGAGGUCUAGGAUAGGAGGGAAGUGUGUGAGGGAGGUCCAGGAUAAGGAGGGAGGUGUGUGGGGAGUGUGUGAUGGAGGUCUAGGAUCAGGAGGGCAUUGUGUGAGGGAGGUCCAGGAUAUGGAGGGCAGUGUGUGGGCAGUGCAUGAGGGAGGUCAAGGAUAAGGAGGGAGGUGUUUGGGCAGUGUGUGAUGGAGGUCCAGGAUAAGGAGGGAGGUGUGUUGACUGUAAAAUGGCCCACAGGGUAAAGAUGGAGGUGUGUGAAGGUCUCUGAUAAUGAAUUAGGUUUGCCUGUAUGUGUCUGUGUGUGUCAGUGUCUUGGAUAAACAUAAUAUUCGUUAUAUUGGCUUCUAUGCCCUUCCCACCCCCCACUGUGGCUGGUUAAUGUGGAACUGCCUGAAUAUGCAUGAUUGUAAGUUGGAGCACCCACAUUUCACAAACUGUGUUCGCAACACUGUGUUGAAUGGUACAUAUUGUAUUGUAUUAUAUUUAUCAUGUCUCCUUUCCUUCCCAAUAAAUCUUUACCUUGUGAAACUCUU